RNAcentral lists this ribosomal RNA (301 nucleotides) under uncultured bacterium. RNAcentral's name for it is "partial 16S ribosomal RNA". It matches the Rfam family "Bacterial small subunit ribosomal RNA", at positions 509 to 807 of the family's 1533-position model. The record is from RNAcentral.
CAGCCGCCGCGGGAAAACGUAGGGUGCAAGCGUUAAUCGGAAUUACUGGGCGUAAAGCGUACGCAGGCGGUUAUAUAAGUCAGAUGUGAAAUCCCCGGGCUCAACCUGGGAACUGCAUUUGAGACUGUAUGGCUAGAGUGUGUCAGAGUGGGGUAGAAUUCCACGUGUAGCAGUGAAAUGCGUAGAUAUGUGGAGGAAUACCGAUGGCGAAGGCAGCCCCCUGGGAUAACACUGACGCUCAUGCACGAAAGCGUGGGGAGCAAACAGGAUUAGAUACCCCCGUAGUCCCUGUCUCUUAUAC